GUCUCCGUGGCGCAAUUGGUUAGCGCGUUCGACUGUUAAUAGAGAGGUUGACAGUUCAAUCCUGUCCGGGGACG
Molecule: transfer RNA, 74 nt
Filed under: Puccinia triticina 1-1 BBBD Race 1
Lineage: Eukaryota; Fungi; Basidiomycota; Pucciniomycetes; Pucciniales; Pucciniaceae
Description: tRNA-Asn (GTT) (tRNA-Asn-GTT-3-1)
Rfam family: tRNA
About the family: Transfer RNA (tRNA) molecules are approximately 80 nucleotides in length. Their secondary structure includes four short double-helical elements and three loops (D, anti-codon, and T loops). Further hydrogen bonds mediate the characteristic L-shaped molecular structure. tRNAs have two regions of fundamental functional importance: the anti-codon, which is responsible for specific mRNA codon recognition, and the 3' end, to which the tRNAs corresponding amino acid is attached (by aminoacyl-tRNA synthetases). tRNAs cope with the degeneracy of the genetic code in two manners: having more than one tRNA (with a specific anti-codon) for a particular amino acid; and 'wobble' base-pairing, i.e. permitting non-standard base-pairing at the 3rd anti-codon position.
Source: RNAcentral